Molecule: transfer RNA, 73 nt
Filed under: Vicugna pacos (alpaca)
Lineage: Eukaryota; Metazoa; Chordata; Mammalia; Artiodactyla; Camelidae
Description: tRNA-Ala (AGC) (tRNA-Ala-AGC-350-1)
Rfam family: tRNA
About the family: Transfer RNA (tRNA) molecules are approximately 80 nucleotides in length. Their secondary structure includes four short double-helical elements and three loops (D, anti-codon, and T loops).
Source: RNAcentral
GGAGGGUAUAGCUCAGUGGUAGAGCGCUUGCUUAGCAUGCAAGAGGUCCUGGGUUCAAUCCCCAGCACCUCUA